RNAcentral lists this small RNA (656 nucleotides) under Pongo abelii (Sumatran orangutan). Its description in RNAcentral is "processed transcript". The record is from RNAcentral. Lineage: Eukaryota; Metazoa; Chordata; Mammalia; Primates; Hominidae.
GGAUGCUCUGCAGAACCAGGCUGAGGCCAGCAGCAAGAUCAUCGGCCAGUUUGGAGUGGGUUUCUACUCAGCCUUCAUGGUAGCUGACAGAGUGGAGGUCUAUUCCCGCUCGGCAGCCCCGGGGAGCCCGGGUUAUCAGUGGCUUUCAGACGGCUCUGGAGUGUUUGAAAUCGCCGAAGCUUCAGGAGUUAGAAUCGGGACAAAAAUCAUCAUCCACCUGAAAUCCGACUGCAAGGAGUUUGCCAGCGAGGCCCGGGUGCGAGAUGUGGUAACGAAGUACAGCAACUUCGUCAGCUUCCCCUUGUACUUGAACGGACGGCGGAUGAACACCUUGCAGGCCGUCUGGAUGAUGGACCCCAAGGACGUCGGGGAGUGGCAACAUGAGGAGUUCUACCGCUACAUCGCGCAGGCUCACGACAAGCCCCGCUACACCCUGCACUAUAAGACGGACGCGCCGCUCAACAUCCGCAGCAUCUUCUACGUGCCCGACACGGUGUGGUGGACAGUGAGGACAUUCCCCUGAACCUCAGCCGGGAGCUGCUGCAGGAGAGCGCACUCAUCAGGAAACUCCGGGACAUUUUACAGCAGAGGCUGAUCAAAUUCUUCAUUGACCAGAGUAAAAAAGAUGCUGAGAAAUAUGCAAAGUUUUUUGAAGA